This 74-nucleotide transfer RNA is filed under the name Solirubrobacterales bacterium. RNAcentral's name for it is "tRNA-Met". It matches the Rfam family "tRNA". From Rfam's summary of the family: Transfer RNA (tRNA) molecules are approximately 80 nucleotides in length. Their secondary structure includes four short double-helical elements and three loops (D, anti-codon, and T loops). RNAcentral also lists the same sequence under 3 other names. Lineage: Bacteria; Bacillati; Actinomycetota; Thermoleophilia; Solirubrobacterales. The record is from RNAcentral.
GGCCCGGUAGCUCAGUUGGUCAGAGCAGCGGACUCAUAAUCCGUCGCGCGCAGGUUCGAGUCCUGCCCGGGCCA